AUUGAACGCUGGCGGAAUGCUUUACACAUGCAAGUCGAACGGCAGCACGGACUUCGGUCUGGUGGCGAGUGGCGAACGGGUGAGUAAUGUAUCGGAACGUGCCCAGUCGUGGGGGAUAACGUAGUGAAAAUUACGCUAAUACCGCAUACGAUCUAUGGAUGAAAGCGGGGGAUCGCAAGACCUCGCGCGAUUGGAGCGGCCGAUAUCAGAUUAGGUAGUUGGUGGCGAAAAGGCCCACCAAGCCAACGAUCUGUAGCUGGUCUGAGAGGACGACCAGCCACACUGGAACUGAGACACGGUCCAGACUCCGACGGGAGGCAGCAGUGGGGAAUUUUGGACAAUGGGCGAAAGCCUGAACCAGCCAUUCCGCGUGCAGGAUGAAGGCCCUCGGGUUGUAAACUGCUUUUGUACAGAACGAAAAGGUUUCUACUAAUACUAGGAGCUCAUGACGGUACUGUAAGAAUAAGCACCGGCUAACUACGUGCCAGCCGCCGCGGUAA
Molecule: ribosomal RNA, 500 nt
Filed under: uncultured bacterium
Lineage: Bacteria
Description: partial 16S ribosomal RNA
Rfam family: Bacterial small subunit ribosomal RNA
Source: RNAcentral